This 496-nucleotide long non-coding RNA is filed under the name Homo sapiens (human). RNAcentral's name for it is "non-protein coding lnc-ABI3-2:8". The record is from RNAcentral. Lineage: Eukaryota; Metazoa; Chordata; Mammalia; Primates; Hominidae.
AACGAUGUCCAGGCAGGGGCCGGGGAAGCUCGUGCCAAGGCACUGAGGGGAAGUGCUGCAAUGAACCUCAGAGGCUGGAUCUUGCUGACUCAUCUGGGGUACCAAGGACAGACAAAGGACAUGGAGUCCAGGCCCAGGAGGCGAUACCAGGCCAGCAGUUUCACUGAUGCUCCUGUCAUGACGAUGACUGCCUCCCUCCUCCCCUUGGUCCCUGACUCAGUGUCUGCAGUGACCAGGCACCAGGCAGGGAGCAAGGAACCAAGCCUUUCACCUGCUCCCACCAACUCCUAUGGUGCUCCCUUUCCAAGGCUAGGUCUCCUCUCCACCCAGUUCCUUAUCACGUACCAUGAGAAGCUGUCACCUUGGCAACUGUCACCUUCUGGUGAGAUUUACAAUUGCACUGCUACAACUGCUUGUGGCAUGGUAAAGUUGCACCAGGACCUCUGCUGUCCAUGAGAUCAAAGUUCCAGGCCAAGGUGAGCACCCGCCUCCAUCC